RNAcentral lists this ribosomal RNA (482 nucleotides) under uncultured bacterium. Its description in RNAcentral is "partial 16S ribosomal RNA". It matches the Rfam family "Bacterial small subunit ribosomal RNA", at positions 30 to 507 of the family's 1533-position model. The record is from RNAcentral.
AUUGGACGCUGGCGGCAUGCUUUACACAUGCAAGUCGAACGGUAACAGGCCGCAAGGUGCUGACGAGUGGCGCACGGGUGAGUAAUGCAUCGGAACGUGCCCAGUCGUGGGGGAUAACUACUCGAAAGAGUAGCUAAUACCGCAUACGAUCUAUGGAUGAAAGCGGGGGACCGUAAGGCCUCGCGCGAUUGGAUCGGCCGAUGUCAGAUUAGGUAGUUGGUGGGGUAAAGGCUCACCAAGCCAACGAUCUGUAGCUGGUCUGAGAGGACGACCAGCCACACUGGGACUGAGACACGGCCCAGACGCCUACGGGAGGCAGCAGUGGGGAAUUUUGGACAAUGGGCGCAAGCCUGAUCCAGCAAUGCCGCGUGCAGGAAGAAGGCCUUCGGGUUGUAAACUGCUUUUGUACGGAACGAAACGGCUCUGGUUAAUACCCGGGGCUAAUGACGGUACCGGAAGAAUAAGCACCGGCUAACUACGUG